This is a non-coding RNA of 75 nucleotides. It matches the Rfam family "ASpks TB sRNA". The record is from Rfam.
CUUGACCGAGCCGAGCCACAGCGGUCGGUCGGCCGGCCGGCCCUGGCCGUAGGUGGCCAGUAGGGCCUGGGCCUC